Molecule: unclassified non-coding RNA, 501 nt
Filed under: Hevea brasiliensis (rubber tree)
Lineage: Eukaryota; Viridiplantae; Streptophyta; Magnoliopsida; Malpighiales; Euphorbiaceae
Source: RNAcentral
CACUCUGAAAGGAGAGAAGAAACAUGUUUUAUAAGCUAAAGUUACAAACAAAGCCUAAUAUCUCCAGGAUCAACUCUACAAAUAAUAACAAAAAGCCCUCUGCAGAACCCAACUUGCACUCAAUAAGAUGUAUGUACCAGCUUGCCCUGAAUUCCGCCAUCAAUCGCUAGAACAAUCUUUGAUCAAUUAAUCCAACUGGACAAAAACCAAAACUGCUAUGCUACCACACAGAUUUUGACAAAUGUUGAAAGAUCCUCUAUUCACAACGUAAGCACAAGUUCUUUGCAAUCAUCUGUCAAAAUAUGGCAGAUCUGCUAUUUGCAGAGUCAAUGAAACAAAAUGCAUACAGGUCCACAUUAUUUUAGCAGCAUUUACACUUCUCCAAUCAGUCGGCCCUCAAUUGUAGAAUCUCCUUGGCUGUUCUCAUCCGAAAGUACGGCAUGUGAUCCUGGCCAAAACAAAGCCCUAAAUUUCUGCUAUAAAAAUCAGCAUAUUUGAUCA